RNAcentral lists this ribosomal RNA (433 nucleotides) under uncultured bacterium. RNAcentral's name for it is "partial 16S ribosomal RNA". It matches the Rfam family "Bacterial small subunit ribosomal RNA", at positions 29 to 507 of the family's 1533-position model. The record is from RNAcentral.
AGCGAACGCUGGCGGCAGGCCUAACACAUGCAAGUCGAACGAACUCUUCGGAGUUAGUGGCGGACGGGUGAGUAACACGUGGGAACGUGCCUUUAGGUUCGGAGUAACUCAGGGAAACUUGUGCUAAUACCGAAUGUGCCCUUCGGGGGAAAGAUUUAUCGCCUUUAGAGCGGCCCGCGUCUGAUUAGCUAGUUGGUGAGGUAAAGGCUCACCAAGGCGACGAUCAGUAGCUGGUCUGAGAGGAUGAUCAGCCACAUUGGGACUGAGACACGGCCCAAACUCCUACGGGAGGCAGCAGUGGGGAAUCUUGCGCAAUGGGCGAAAGCCUGACGCAGCCAUGCCGCGUGAAUGAUGAAGGUCUUAGGAUUGUAAAAUUCUUUCACCGGGGACGAUAAUGACGGUACCCGGAGAAGAAGCCCCGGCUAACUUCGUG